UUUUAUUGGCUGCCUGUUCCAGACUGAUGCAGCGACGCCGCGUGAGGGAUGACGGCCUUCGGGUUGUAAACCUCUUUCACUAGGGAAGAAGCGUGAGUGACGGUACCUGCAGAAGAAGCGCCGGCUAACUACCUGCCAGCAGCCGCGGUAAUACGUAGGGGGCAAGCGUUGUCCGGAAUUAUUGGGCGUAAAGAGCUCGUAGGCGGUUUGUCGCGUCUGCUGUGAAAGCCCGGGGCUCAACCCCGGGUCUGCAGUGGGUACGGGCAGACUAGAGUGCAGUAGGGGAGACUGGAAUUCCUGGUGUAGCGGUGAAAUGCGCAGAUAUCAGGAGGAACACCGAUGGCGAAGGCGGGUCUCUGGGCUGUUACUGACGCUGAGGAGCGAAAGCAUGGGGAGCGAACAGGAUUAGAUACCCUGGUAGUCCAUGCCGUAAACGUUGGGGGCUAGGUGUGGGGGACAUUCCACGUUUUCCGCGCCGUAGCUAACGCAUUAAGUGCCCCGCCUGGGGAGUACGGCCGCAAGGCUAAAACUCAAAGGAAUUGACGGAGG
This 549-nucleotide ribosomal RNA is filed under the name uncultured bacterium. RNAcentral describes it as "bacterial SSU rRNA". It matches the Rfam family "Bacterial small subunit ribosomal RNA", at positions 359 to 919 of the family's 1533-position model. The record is from RNAcentral.